Molecule: ribosomal RNA, 444 nt
Filed under: uncultured bacterium
Lineage: Bacteria
Description: SSU rRNA
Rfam family: Bacterial small subunit ribosomal RNA
Source: RNAcentral
AGAGCGAACGCUGGCGGCAGGCCUAACACAUGCAAGUCGAGCGCCCCGCAAGGGGAGCGGCAGACGGGAGAGUAACACGUGGGAACGUACCCUUUGGUUCGGAACAACACAGGGAAACUUGUGCUAAUACCGGAUAAGCCCUUACGGGGAAAGAUUUAUUGCCAAAGGAUCGGCCCGCGCCUGAUUAGCUUGUUGGUGAGGUAACGGCUCACCAAGGCUACGAUCAGUAGCUGGUCUGAGAGGAUGAUCAGCCUCACUGGGACUGAGACACGGCCCAGACUCCUACGGGAGGCAGCAGUGGGGAAUAUUGGACAAUGGGCGCAAGCCUGAUCCAGCCAUGCCGCGUGGAUGAUGAAGGCCCUAGGGUUGUAAAGUCCUUUCGACGGGGAAGAUAAUGACGGUACCCGUAGAAGAAGCCCCGGCUAACUUCGUGCCAGCAGCCGC